AUUGAACGCUGGCGGCAGGCUUAACACAUGCAAGUCGAGCGGGGGAAGGUAGCUUGCUACCGGACCUAGCGGCGGACGGGUGAGUAAUGCUUAGGAAUCUGCCUAUUAGUGGGGGACAACAUCUCGAAAGGGAUGCUAAUACCGCAUACGUCCUACGGGAGCAAGCAGGGGAUCUUCGGACCUUGCGCUAAUAGACGAGCCUAAGUCGGAUUAGCUAGUUGGUGGGGUAAAGGCCUACCAAGGCGACGAUCUGUAGCGGGUCUGAGAGGAUGAUCCGCCACACUGGGACUGAGACACGGCCCAGACUCCUACGGGAGGCAGCAGUGGGGAAUAUUGGACAAUGGGGGGAACCCUGAUCCAGCCAGGCCGCGUGUGUGAAGAAGGCCUUAUGGUUGUAAAGCACUUUAAGCGAGGAGGAGGCUACUUUAGUUAAUACCUGGAGAUAGUGGACGUUACUCGCAGAAUAAGCACCGGCUAACUCUGUGCCAGCAGCCGCCGUAA
RNAcentral lists this ribosomal RNA (501 nucleotides) under uncultured bacterium. Its description in RNAcentral is "partial 16S ribosomal RNA". It matches the Rfam family "Bacterial small subunit ribosomal RNA", at positions 30 to 523 of the family's 1533-position model. The record is from RNAcentral.